CCUUUCCUGCUUCCUCACCCGCUGUAGCAAGCAGGUGUGGAGUCGAGUCGGAGGCAGGCGCUGGCUGCGUGGACCCCCGGGUGGGAUUCCACCCGCGACAAGGCACCCAGGCCCUUUGGGCGGGGCUCCCCUGGGGUCCGCGUCCCCGCCGCCUCCCCCGGGCCUCUGCUGGGCUGGCUGGAGGCAGGAGGCCCCGGGCCAGCAUCCUGAGCCCCACCUGCAGGCCCUGGGCGCUUUCCUCCUGGCAGCUGUGCCCCCACCCGACCGGACCGCUCCCUGCAACCAGAGAGCCCUCACACCAGCAACACCCCCCAGCCUGCUCCCUCCUCGUGUGCGCGAAACUCAUGGCACUGGCUUGACGGCUUUCUCUGAAACCCUCUGAUUCCGCCUGGCCCAUCCACACUGUCCCUUCCCGGCCAGGGCUCAUCUCCUAUGCCUGGACCAAACAGCGUAGUCUCCAGUCUCCCUGAUCUCCCCACACGUGGCCCCACCCAUCCUCUGAAGCAGCCCCAGGAGGCAGCAGUGACUUCACACUUCUAGUGCCCGGCCCUCCCGGCCCUCCUCUCUGGGCUUGCUUGCCAGGGUCCUCCCAACCUGACUGCUGCCUCCCACCUCCUCUCCGCCCCUGGAGCUCUCCAGCCGCAGCCGCGGGGCCUGCUUGGGAUUCUCCUCUGCUGGCAUCAUCCCUGCCUGCCUCAGCCUUCCCAGGCCCAAUCCUGCCCGAUCUCACCUCUUCCCGCCCAGCCACCUGGUCGGGUCCCGACCAGCAUCUGCCUUCAAACCUGGAGUCCUUCCCUGAGUGCUUGCGGUGCACUGUGAGGAAGGAAAUCAAUGUAAAGGAUUAUGACCCACAUUUUUUAAAAAUAAAAAGAUUAAGGAGAACAGCA
Molecule: long non-coding RNA, 887 nt
Organism: Homo sapiens (human)
Lineage: Eukaryota; Metazoa; Chordata; Mammalia; Primates; Hominidae
Gene: BNAT1
Product: breast cancer associated ESR1 regulating natural antisense transcript 1
Exons: 2
Source: RefSeq, marked validated